Molecule: ribosomal RNA, 468 nt
Filed under: uncultured bacterium
Lineage: Bacteria
Description: partial 16S ribosomal RNA
Rfam family: Bacterial small subunit ribosomal RNA
Source: RNAcentral
GACGAACGCUGGCGGCGUGCUUAACACAUGCAAGUCGAACGGAAAGGCCCUGCUUUUGUGGGGUGCUCGAGUGGCGAACGGGUGAGUAACACGUGAGUAACCUGCCCUUGACUUUGGGAUAACUUCAGGAAACUGGGGCUAAUACCGGAUAGGAGCUCCUGCUGCAUGGUGGGGGUUGGAAAGUUUCGGCGGUUGGGGAUGGACUCGCGGCUUAUCAGCUUGUUGGUGGGGUAGUGGCUUACCAAGGCUUUGACGGGUAGCCGGCCUGAGAGGGUGACCGGCCACAUUGGGACUGAGAUACGGCCCAGACUCCUACGGGAGGCAGCAGUGGGGAAUAUUGCACAAUGGGCGGAAGCCUGAUGCAGCAACGCCGCGUGCGUGAUGACGGCCUUCGGGGUGUAAACCGCUUUCGCCUGUGACGAAGCGGGAGUGACGGUAAUGGGUAAAGAAGCACCGGCUAACUACGUG